UUGUCGCAGCAAAUAGUUUGGCUGGAAUUAUUCUAUUGCGUCGCUGUUUAACUUGUUACGGCUACAAUAGAUUGUCACUAAACAAAUUCCGUAAAUUGACACUAUCUGCAGCGGUCAUGAUUUCAGUCUUGUAUCUCCGUCUCUCUUUCUCGCAAGAGUCACGCUGGGGCCGCUGCUGCCCCUUCCCACGCUUUGCCAGCUGCCACACUGGUGCUGUCUCGCCUUGCCGAUGAGCACCUCUCUCUCUCUCUCUCUCUCUCUCUCUCUUCCUCUCUCUAUUUCAUCCUUAUCUUUCUCUCCGUCCAUUUUUCUCACUCUCCCUCUCUCUUGGCUGUGCUAGUGUUCUUUGGCAAUUCCAGACCAUUUCGCCCUUCCCUAAUCGGACUCUCGAUAUGGCGGCCAUCAUGCGGUUCCAGGAUUAAUGAGAAUACUGGUGCCACUCCAACUGAAUGAUGAUUGACCCAUAUACACUCCUAUCUCUUUACUAGUCGAAAGUAUAGUCAUGGAAAUGUUCAAAUUAUAUCUUUUUCGUUCUCCUUAUGUGUUUUCGUUCAUAGGUUUGACAUUUGGCCUCUAAAGGGAUAUUGUAAAUUCGGAUUCAGACUAGCAUCAUUUUAUUUUUCAUACUAAUUAAUUUACGGCCAAUACUUUAAUUUCAUGUUAA
Carya illinoinensis is the source of this 664-nucleotide long non-coding RNA. RefSeq lists it as uncharacterized. The record is from RefSeq and is a predicted model, not a curated record. The transcript is spliced from 2 exons. NCBI's taxonomy places the organism in Eukaryota, Viridiplantae, Streptophyta, Magnoliopsida, Fagales, Juglandaceae.